RNAcentral lists this ribosomal RNA (691 nucleotides) under uncultured Bacteroidales bacterium. RNAcentral's name for it is "bacterial SSU rRNA". It matches the Rfam family "Bacterial small subunit ribosomal RNA", at positions 50 to 725 of the family's 1533-position model. The record is from RNAcentral. Lineage: Bacteria; Pseudomonadati; Bacteroidota; Bacteroidia; Bacteroidales.
AACACAUGCAAGUCGAGGGGCAGCAUUCUCAGUUUGCUUGCAAACUGGAGAUGGCGACCGGGGCACGGGUGAGUAACACGUAUCCAACCUGCCGAUAACUCGGGGAUAGCCUUUCGAAAGAAAGAUUAAUACCCGAUGGUAUAAUUAGACCGCAUGGUCUUGUUAUUAAAGAAUUUCGGUUAUCGAUGGGGAUGCGUUCCAUUAGGCAGUUGGUGAGGUAACGGCUCACCAAACCUUCGAUGGAUAGGGGUUCUGAGAGGAAGGUCCCCCACAUUGGAACUGAGACACGGUCCAAACUCCUACGGGAGGCAGCAGUGAGGAAUAUUGGUCAAUGGGCGCAGGCCUGAACCAGCCAAGUAGCGUGAAGGAUGACUGCCCUAUGGGUUGUAAACUUCUUUUAUAUGGGAAUAAAGUUUUCCACGUGUGGAAUUUUGUAUGUACCAUAUGAAUAAGGAUCGGCUAACUCCGUGCCAGCAGCCGCGGUAAUACGGAGGAUCCGAGCGUUAUCCGGAUUUAUUGGGUUUAAAGGGAGCGUAGGUGGACAGUUAAGUCAGUUGUGAAAGUUUGCGGCUCAACCGUAAAAUUGCAGUUGAUACUGGCUGUCUUGAGUACAGUAGAGGUGGGCGGAAUUCCGUGGUGUAGCCGGUGAAAUGCUUACGAUAUCACGAAGAACUCCGAUUGCGAAGGCAGC